AGCUCCAAUAGCGUAUAUUAAAGUUGUUGCGGUUAAAAAGCUCGUAGUUGGAUUUCUGUUGAGGACAGCUGGUCCGCCCCUUGGGUGAGUAUCUAGUUUGGCCUUGGCAUCUUCUUGGGGAACGUAUCUGCACUUGACUGUGUGGUGCGGUAUCCAGGACUUUUACUUUGAGGAAAUUAGAGUGUUUCAAGCAGGCUUACGCCUUGAAUACAUUAGCAUGGAAUAAUAAGAUAGGACCU
RNAcentral lists this ribosomal RNA (239 nucleotides) under uncultured eukaryote. RNAcentral's name for it is "partial small subunit ribosomal RNA". It matches the Rfam family "Eukaryotic small subunit ribosomal RNA", at positions 587 to 830 of the family's 1831-position model. The record is from RNAcentral.